This 63-nucleotide transfer RNA is filed under the name Methanothermococcus okinawensis. RNAcentral describes it as "tRNA-Ser". Lineage: Archaea; Methanobacteriati; Methanobacteriota; Methanococci; Methanococcales; Methanococcaceae. The record is from RNAcentral.
GCGGAGGUGGUCGAGCCUGGACUAAGGCGCCGGACUUGAAAUCCGGUGGGGCUCUGCCCCGCA